RNAcentral lists this ribosomal RNA (638 nucleotides) under uncultured bacterium. Its description in RNAcentral is "bacterial SSU rRNA". The stretch from base 1 to 534 matches the Rfam family "Bacterial small subunit ribosomal RNA", at positions 338 to 873 of the family's 1533-position model. The record is from RNAcentral.
CCUACGGGAGGCAGCAGUGAGGAAUAUUGGUCAAUGGGCGAGAGCCUGAACCAGCCAAGUCGCGUGAAGGAAGAAUGUCCUAUGGAUUGUAAACUUCUUUUGUAAGGGAAUAAAAAAGAUUACGUGUAGUCUAUUGUAUGUACUUUACGAAUAAGGAUCGGCUAACUCCGUGCCAGCAGCCGCGGUAAUACGGAGGAUCCGAGCGUUAUCCGGAUUUAUUGGGUUUAAAGGGUGCGUAGGCGGACCCAUAAGUCAGUGGUGAAAGUUUGCAGCUCAACUGUAAAAUUGCCAUUGAAACUGUGGGUCUUGAGUGUAAAUGAGGUAGGCGGAAUGUGUUGUGUAGCGGUGAAAUGCUUAGAUAUAACACAGAACACCAAUUGCGAAGGCAGCUUACUGGGAUACAACUGACGCUGAGGCACGAAAGCGUGGGGAUCAAACAGGAUUAGAUACCCUGGUAGUCCACGCAGUAAACGAUGAAUACUAGCUGUAUGNGAUAUAUAUAUGUGUCGAAGACGAAGACGUAAGUUAGUUACCGUACCGUACGGGUAGGUAACGGUUCGUCGAAGAAGUAGUUAACGUUACGAAGGAAGUUAGUUACGGCGUUGAGACGUUGCGACGGACGACGACGAGGGAGGAGG